Molecule: long non-coding RNA, 1338 nt
Organism: Melanotaenia boesemani (Boeseman's rainbowfish)
Lineage: Eukaryota; Metazoa; Chordata; Actinopteri; Atheriniformes; Melanotaeniidae
Exons: 2
Source: RefSeq, a predicted model, not a curated record
CUUCCUGGAACUUUUGGAGGCUACAUGGACCACGUGAUCGGCAAGCGUUUUGAGCUUCCGGUGGCGCCACUCUCUCUCUAGAGGCACACUACCCAAAACGAGCUGUCAAGAGAUUCUGCUCCACACAUUAACUGCGCUACAUGCUGAUGAAUAUUUUUAGAGAUGAAAGUCAUUUGCUAAAGGAGGGGUCAUGAUGCCUUGCAGCUGACGUCACAGACGCGUUCCACUGCGUUCGAAUUCUUGCCGCCGCCAUAUUGAGUACCUGCGCUGAGUACCUGAACCACACAGGUAGUCGGAGAUGCCGUCAAAAUGCUGUGCAGUUGGGUGUCACAAAAAGAAAGGAGACGGAGAUAUAGCUUUUUAUCGAUUACCAAAGGAAGAAGAACGUCGUCAGAGAUGGCUUUCAGCGAUCAGGAGGGUUAACUGGACGCCGACUGCAAGUAGCCGUCUGUGCAGUGUACAUUUCAUAUCAGGACACUGACUCAGAGGAGGAGCAGACAAAGGGUCUCAUUGUGGGUAUCCUUACUGUGUUGGAGGAUGACUGUACUUCACCUCCUGCAAAUGUGAGGAAUCUUGCUGUUGUUGUGGAAGAAACGAUCAUUCUACAGGAUCUUCCUGACCUGACAACGGCUUUUGCCUACCUCCUUGGGCUGAUCUACAGUUUGAACCUUCAGUACCCAAAAGACCUGAGGUACACUUUUGAAACUGUUCAGAAGAUUUUUAUGGGACUUGGAACAGAUCUCUCUGCAAGGGUAAGAUCCCUUGAAAACAGACUCCUUCAGUGAAUCCAGUAAGGGAGCUGUUGUGCUGUGAUCAACCGUAUCUUUUUUCAUUUCAGGCUUUCUUGAAAUUAGAGUUCUGACUUUUUUCACUGUAUAAACCCUUAGUUCUAAAGAAGCUGCAUAAUACAUAUAAAAAGUGUUUAGACGUUACAAUGCAUUGUGGUUAGUGUUAAAUGGUAUUUUCUUAAGUGAGUUUACCUCCUAACUGUCUGAUACAAAGGUUAUUUUGUUCUUAUUCUGGACUUGGCCUUGCCAUCUUGUUACACAUCUCAGGGUCUGUUAGCUGUACUUUGUUAUAUGUAAUCUUGUACACAAUCUUUUGAGCUGUGGUCUCAUACAUUUGUUAGGCUUGCACUAGUUUUAUUCAGCUUUUUGAGCUGUUGUAUAAAAAUGUUUUAUAUCUUUGUUUUAAUCAGUGUUACCUGUGAAGGUAAAUUUCAUACUUGCUGAACUUGGCGUUUUCAAAGAUCCCCAACUGCACAAGAAAAUGCUGAAUUGCUGUCUUACCAGCUGUACUCUAACAAAUGUUCUCAAUAAAAAAAAACUUUUCAAUUUU